This 83-nucleotide transfer RNA is filed under the name Oculatellaceae cyanobacterium Prado106. RNAcentral's name for it is "tRNA-Leu". It matches the Rfam family "tRNA". Rfam says of the family: Transfer RNA (tRNA) molecules are approximately 80 nucleotides in length. Their secondary structure includes four short double-helical elements and three loops (D, anti-codon, and T loops). The record is from RNAcentral. Lineage: Bacteria; Bacillati; Cyanobacteriota; Cyanophyceae; Oculatellales; Oculatellaceae.
GGGGGCGUGGCGGAAUGGUAGACGCUACGGACUUAAAAUCCGUUGACCGCAAGGUUGUAAGGGUUCAAGUCCCUUCGCCCCCA